UACGUAGGGUGCAAGCGAUAAUCGGAAUUACUGGGCGUAAAGCGUGCGCAGGCGGUUUUGUAAGACAGGCGUGAAAUCCCCGGGCUCAACCUGGGAAUGGCGCUUGUGACUGCAAAGCUGGAGUGCGGCAGAGGGGGAUGGAAUUCCGCGUGUAGCAGUGAAAUGCGUAGAUAUGCGGAGGAACACCGAUGGCGAAGGCAAUCCCCUGGGCCUGCACUGACGCUCAUGCACGAAAGCGUGGGGAGCAAACAGG
RNAcentral lists this ribosomal RNA (253 nucleotides) under uncultured bacterium. RNAcentral's name for it is "partial 16S ribosomal RNA". It matches the Rfam family "Bacterial small subunit ribosomal RNA", at positions 524 to 776 of the family's 1533-position model. The record is from RNAcentral.